CGACGCAUUCCGACCUAACCAGCUUAACUCUCCUACUUUCUACGGGCUAUUGUUGCUUCAGCCAAAAGUGAAGAGUUCCCUAAGCAAAUUUUGAUUCCAAAGAAACCGAUGCAUACCGACCUAACCGGCUUAACUCCCCGACUUUCUAUGCGUUAUUGUUGCUUUGACUAAGAGUUAAGAGUUUCCUACGCAAGUUCUGAUUCUCGAGGAACCCGAUGCAUUCUAACAUAAAUGGCUUAACUCCCGUACUUUCUACGGGCUAUUGUGGCUUCGGCCGAGAGUGAAGAGUUGUCGAAGAAGUUAUGAUCCCAAAGAACCCGAUGCAUUUUAACCUAACCAGCUUAAUUCUCCUACUUUCUACGAGCUAUUGUGGCUUCAAUCGAGAGUCAAGAGUUCCCGACACAAGUUCUGAUCCCAAAGAUUUCCUUGUGCAAGUUCGGAUAUCUAAAGAACCAAACAUGCAUUCUGACCUAACUGGCUUAACUCUUCUACUUUCAACCGG
This 502-nucleotide long non-coding RNA is filed under the name Cucumis sativus (cucumber). Its description in RNAcentral is "long non-coding RNA (CSAT_LNC003207)". Lineage: Eukaryota; Viridiplantae; Streptophyta; Magnoliopsida; Cucurbitales; Cucurbitaceae. The record is from RNAcentral.